AUCUAGAUAGUUUAAUAAGAAUACUGAUUUGUGGCAUCAGAGAUAUAAUAAUAUGUUAUUUUAGAUC
RNAcentral lists this transfer RNA (67 nucleotides) under Ligyra sp. 2017. RNAcentral describes it as "tRNA-His". The record is from RNAcentral. Lineage: Eukaryota; Metazoa; Arthropoda; Insecta; Diptera; Bombyliidae.